RNAcentral lists this long non-coding RNA (1507 nucleotides) under Fukomys damarensis (Damara mole-rat). RNAcentral's name for it is "lncRNA (ENSFDAG00000022576.1)". The record is from RNAcentral. Lineage: Eukaryota; Metazoa; Chordata; Mammalia; Rodentia; Bathyergidae.
CUAGGGGCUCGGCGGGCGGGAGGAUCCGCGCUGCUGGGCUGGGAGGACCCGCGGGAAGGAGGAGGUGAACCACCUGGGGCGCAGUCCAGGUGGUGUCGUUCCACGUCGGAAGCUUUUCUGCAUUGAUGGUAUGAUGAAUUCGAUACACAGUGGUGAUGUUGAAGACCUGGUGGAGGAACACACAGAGGAACUGUCUACAGAACUUCAGCAACUUCUGGCUGAGCAACAGAGAAUGGCAGCUGAGGAGCUUUCUGGAGAGGAGGGGGAGGAUCAACAAUCAGUGCAGCAAAGUUCUUCUAAAAGAAAGGAAAUCCUGAAAAACUGGAUGGACUUUACAAUUGUUGAGACCUAGUGAGCCAGAAACAGGUCCUAGUGAGCUACAAACUCUCCCAAGGAGACAGGACGUCUUACGGAAGAGACUUUCCCUCCAAACAAUAUCCACCUUCCAUUUCAUCCUCCCUUCCUGCAAGCCAAAGAUGUCAACUUGCAUGGUGAGUACCAUAUGAAAUUUUUGUUUCUGUUAAACUAGGGACAUUUUGUAACUUUUUGGUGAAUACAUCAGGAAAAUUAUUGAUGUUCUGAUAAAUUAUGUACAUUAUACAAUUCUUUUUAUUAUGAAAAGGUUAGUUAUGGGAUGAUUUGGGAGGUUCAGAAUACAUUAUGGGUAUUUCCAUGUUUUCUUAUGGGAAAAUAGUCUUGACUUACAACCCCCUUGAGUUAUAUCCAAUCCUCCUGAGCAAAUUGAAUUGGUAAGUCAAGAAUAUGCUAUAACGAUGGCAUAGAGAAUAUACACACAAAACAGUAGAAGAUGUGAAUGCUUGGAAUUUGCAUGAAAUGCUGAAGAUUUUCAAUUAUAUGAAUUUAUCAAUAAAAUAAGUCAAAGCAACUUAAAUGUCUCUCUCUUCCCUUCUGCAUGUAUGUGUGUGUGUAUAAGUGAGGAUUAAACUCAGGGCCUUCACAUUUAGUUACACCCAGCGUUUUUUUUUUUUUUUUUUUUUUUUUUUUUUGUACCAGUGAUUGAACUCUGGUUCUUGUGCUUGUAAGGCAGACGGUGGAACCACUGAGCUAAACCCCGGGCCUACCCGCCCCAUCUCUUUUUACUUAAUUUUGAGACAGUCUCAUUAAACUGCUUCAAUUGGCCUCAAACUUGCAAUCCUCCUUAGCCUCCCAGAGUGCUGGGAUUAUAGGCAUGCUGUUCUCUCUGAUUAUGUGACCAAAUUACCAUAAGUGUUUAUAUUUACUUAUACAAAGUCCACCAGAAAAAUGUAUACACACUUCAGGAAAAGAAAAAUAGUAUUUUUUUUUUUAACAGAUGGUGUUAUCCUUGUAUGGGAGUCCCUAGAGGAUGGUGUAUAUCACAGAAAACCCACUACACUACCAGGUCUUAAAAGAAAUUGAAAAAUCCAUGCGCAGCAAUCUCAAUAGCCAAGGUUACCCAAACAACUGUUCACCAUAUUAAUAAAUGUAUGGAAGCUAAUGGCCACCAUUUUGAGCACCUCUUUAAAUU